AACGCACAUUGCGCCCCGUGGUAUUCCGCGGGGCAUGCCUGUUCGAGCGUCAUUAUGACCAAUCCCGCUCGCGGGGUCUUGGGCACCGCCUCUGGGCGGGCCUCAAAAUCAGUGGCGGUACGGCCGGGCUCUGAGCGUAGUAAAUCUUCUCGCUACAGGGUCCCGGGCGGCACUGGCCAGCAACCCCCAAUCUUUUACAGGUUGACCUCGGAUCAGGUAGGGAUACCCGCUGAACUUAA
Molecule: unclassified non-coding RNA, 239 nt
Filed under: Phaeosphaeria sp.
Lineage: Eukaryota; Fungi; Ascomycota; Dothideomycetes; Pleosporales; Phaeosphaeriaceae
Also listed under: 3 other names
Description: partial contains 5.8S ribosomal RNA, internal transcribed spacer 2, and large subunit ribosomal RNA
Rfam family: 5.8S ribosomal RNA (bases 1-52)
Source: RNAcentral